RNAcentral lists this ribosomal RNA (2923 nucleotides) under Klebsiella quasipneumoniae. Its description in RNAcentral is "23S ribosomal RNA". It matches the Rfam family "Bacterial large subunit ribosomal RNA". Lineage: Bacteria; Pseudomonadati; Pseudomonadota; Gammaproteobacteria; Enterobacterales; Enterobacteriaceae. The record is from RNAcentral.
GGGUUGUGAGGUUAAGCGACUAAGCGUACACGGUGGAUGCCCUGGCAGUCAGAGGCGAUGAAGGACGUGCUAAUCUGCGAAAAGCGUCGGUAAGGUGAUAUGAACCGUUAUAACCGGCGAUGUCCGAAUGGGGAAACCCAGUGUGAUUCGUCACACUAUCGUUAACUGAAUACAUAGGUUAACGAGGCGAACCGGGGGAACUGAAACAUCUAAGUACCCCGAGGAAAAGAAAUCAACCGAGAUUCCCCCAGUAGCGGCGAGCGAACGGGGAGCAGCCCAGAGUCUGAAUCAGCUUGUGUGUUAGUGGAACGGUCUGGAAAGUCCGACGGUACAGGGUGAUAGUCCCGUACACCAAAAUGCACAGGCUGUGAACUCGAAGAGUAGGGCGGGACACGUGGUAUCCUGUCUGAAUAUGGGGGGACCAUCCUCCAAGGCUAAAUACUCCUGACUGACCGAUAGUGAACCAGUACCGUGAGGGAAAGGCGAAAAGAACCCCGGCGAGGGGAGUGAAAAAGAAUCUGAAACCGUGUACGUACAAGCAGUGGGAGCACCUUUAUGGUGUGACUGCGUACCUUUGUAUAAUGGGUCAGCGACUUAUAUUCUGUAGCAAGGUUAACCGUAUAGGGAGCCGCAGGGAAACCGAGUCUUAACUGGGCGUUAAGUUGCAGGGUAUAGACCCGAAACCCGGUGAUCUAGCCAUGGGCAGGUUGAAGGUUGGGUAACACUAACUGGAGGACCGAACCGACUAAUGUUGAAAAAUUAGCGGAUGACUUGUGGCUGGGGGUGAAAGGCCAAUCAAACCGGGAGAUAGCUGGUUCUCCCCGAAAGCUAUUUAGGUAGCGCCUCGUGAACUCAUCUUCGGGGGUAGAGCACUGUUUCGGCUAGGGGGUCAUCCCGACUUACCAACCCGAUGCAAACUACGAAUACCGAAGAAUGUUAUCACGGGAGACACACGGCGGGUGCUAACGUCCGUCGUGAAGAGGGAAACAACCCAGACCGCCAGCUAAGGUCCCAAAGUCAUGGUUAAGUGGGAAACGAUGUGGGAAGGCACAGACAGCCAGGAUGUUGGCUUAGAAGCAGCCAUCAUUUAAAGAAAGCGUAAUAGCUCACUGGUCGAGUCGGCCUGCGCGGAAGAUGUAACGGGGCUAAACCAUGCACCGAAGCUGCGGCAGCGACGCUUAUGCGUUGUUGGGUAGGGGAGCGUUCUGUAAGCCUGCGAAGGUGACCUGUGAGGGUUGCUGGAGGUAUCAGAAGUGCGAAUGCUGACAUAAGUAACGAUAAAGCGGGUGAAAAGCCCGCUCGCCGGAAGACCAAGGGUUCCUGUCCAACGUUAAUCGGGGCAGGGUGAGUCGACCCCUAAGGCGAGGCCGAAAGGCGUAGUCGAUGGGAAACAGGUUAAUAUUCCUGUACUUGGUGUUACUGCGAAGGGGGGACGGAGAAGGCUAUGUUAGCCGGGCGACGGUUGUCCCGGUUUAAGCAUGUAGGCUGGUUAUCCAGGCAAAUCCGGAUAAUCAAGGCUGAGGUGUGAUGACGAGGCACUACGGUGCUGAAGUAACAAAUGCCCUGCUUCCAGGAAAAGCCUCUAAGCAUCAGGUAACACGAAAUCGUACCCCAAACCGACACAGGUGGUCAGGUAGAGAAUACCAAGGCGCUUGAGAGAACUCGGGUGAAGGAACUAGGCAAAAUGGUGCCGUAACUUCGGGAGAAGGCACGCUGGUGUGUAGGUGAAGUCCCUGCGGAUGGAGCUGAGACCAGUCGAAGAUACCAGCUGGCUGCAACUGUUUAUUAAAAACACAGCACUGUGCAAACACGAAAGUGGACGUAUACGGUGUGACGCCUGCCCGGUGCCGGAAGGUUAAUUGAUGGGGUUAUCCGUAAGGAGAAGCUCUUGAUCGAAGCCCCGGUAAACGGCGGCCGUAACUAUAACGGUCCUAAGGUAGCGAAAUUCCUUGUCGGGUAAGUUCCGACCUGCACGAAUGGCGUAAUGAUGGCCAGGCUGUCUCCACCCGAGACUCAGUGAAAUUGAACUCGCUGUGAAGAUGCAGUGUACCCGCGGCAAGACGGAAAGACCCCGUGAACCUUUACUAUAGCUUGACACUGAACAUUGAGCCUUGAUGUGUAGGAUAGGUGGGAGGCUUUGAAGCGUGGACGCCAGUCUGCGUGGAGCCAACCUUGAAAUACCACCCUUUAAUGUUUGAUGUUCUAACGUUGGCCCCUGACCGGGGUUGCGGACAGUGUCUGGUGGGUAGUUUGACUGGGGCGGUCUCCUCCCAAAGCGUAACGGAGGAGCACGAAGGUUAGCUAAUCCUGGUCGGACAUCAGGAGGUUAGUGCAAUGGCAUAAGCUAGCUUGACUGCGAGCGUGACGGCGCGAGCAGGUGCGAAAGCAGGUCAUAGUGAUCCGGUGGUUCUGAAUGGAAGGGCCAUCGCUCAACGGAUAAAAGGUACUCCGGGGAUAACAGGCUGAUACCGCCCAAGAGUUCAUAUCGACGGCGGUGUUUGGCACCUCGAUGUCGGCUCAUCACAUCCUGGGGCUGAAGUAGGUCCCAAGGGUAUGGCUGUUCGCCAUUUAAAGUGGUACGCGAGCUGGGUUUAGAACGUCGUGAGACAGUUCGGUCCCUAUCUGCCGUGGGCGCUGGAGAAUUGAGGGGGGCUGCUCCUAGUACGAGAGGACCGGAGUGGACGCAUCACUGGUGUUCGGGUUGUCAUGCCAAUGGCACUGCCCGGUAGCUAAAUGCGGAAGAGAUAAGUGCUGAAAGCAUCUAAGCACGAAACUUGCCCCGAGAUGAGUUCUCCCUGAGACUUUAAGUCUCCUGAAGGAACGUUGAAGACGACGACGUUGAUAGGCCGGGUGUGUAAGCGCAGCGAUGCGUUGAGCUAACCGGUACUAAUGAACCGUGAGGCUUAACCUUACAACGCCGAAG